GGCCCACACAAGCGGUGGAGCAUGUGGUUUAAUUCGAUGAUACGCGAGGAACCUUACCAGGACUUAAAUGUAAGUUGCAUGAUUCAGAAAUGAAUCUUUCUUCGGACUACUUACAAGGUGCUGCAUGGUUGUCGUCAGCUCGUGCUGUGAGGUGUCGGGUUAAGUCCCAUAACGAGCGCAACCCCUAUCCUUAGUUGCCAGCGAGUAAAGUCGGGGACUCUAGGGAAACUGCCGGUGCAAACCGAGAGGAAGGUGGGGAUGACGUCAAAUCAUCACGGCCCUUACGUCCAGGGCUACACACGUGCUACAAUGGCGCAUACAAAGGGCAGCUACAUGGUGACAUGGUGCUAAUCUCUAAAGUGCGUCUCAGUUCGGA
This 376-nucleotide ribosomal RNA is filed under the name uncultured bacterium. RNAcentral's name for it is "bacterial SSU rRNA". It matches the Rfam family "Bacterial small subunit ribosomal RNA", at positions 918 to 1297 of the family's 1533-position model. The record is from RNAcentral.